This is an RNA transcript of Limulus polyphemus (Atlantic horseshoe crab), 6053 nucleotides long. It is a transcript of the gene named poly(rC)-binding protein 3-like, with no coding region annotated. The transcript is spliced from 15 exons. NCBI's taxonomy places the organism in Eukaryota, Metazoa, Arthropoda, Merostomata, Xiphosura, Limulidae. The record is from RefSeq and is a predicted model, not a curated record.
UGCAGGGAAGAAUCACGCAGCUGACGAGCACUGUCCUUUUCCUUAUUUGAAAUCCCGUUCUUGUCCCACUAGAUCCUAAAGACCUACCCUGGUACCUGCCAAUAUCCCAAACAGCCCUCUCGGUCAUUGCCAAGCUUUUCAAGUUGUGGACUACAACGUUCGUAUUCUACAGACAACAGCAGUUCACCGUGCAGCCUGUUCCCCUGAUCCUUGUGAAGCUCCUCCUUCACCCUUCACCACCACCACCUAUACCGAUCACCAGCCAUGGCUACCGUAGAUUCCAGGCCCCUGUCGUCCUCAGACGGCCCCUCCGUCACCCUUACCAUCAGGCUGAUCAUGCAAGGCAAAGAAGUUGGAAGUAUCAUUGGAAAGAAAGGUGACAAUAUCAAGAAAUUUAGAGAAGAGAGUGGAGCCAAAAUAAACAUAUCUGAUGGCUCAUGCCCAGAACGAAUAGUCACUAUCACUGGAUCAACUGAGGCUAUUCUCAAGGCUUUCACACUCAUAGCCAGCAAGUUUGAAGAGGAUCUCCAGAAUACAGCAGGUGGUGCUGGAGCUCCUAAACCUCCAGUCACACUCCGUCUUAUUGUUCCAGCUGGCCAGUGUGGAUCUCUCAUUGGCAAAGGAGGGUCAAAAAUUAAAGAAAUUAGGGAGGUUACUGGAGCAUCUAUCCAAGUGGCUAGCGAGAUGCUGCCUAACUCCACAGAAAGGGCAGUGACUAUAUCAGGGGCAGCAGAUGCUAUUACUAAGUGUAUUUAUCAGAUAUGCUGUGUUAUGAUGGAGUCUCCUCCUAAGGGAGCUACAAUACCGUACCGUCCAAAGCCAACCAUGCCACCUGUUAUUUUCUCCGGUGGGCAGGCGUACACAGUGCAGGGCCAGUACGCCAUUCCUCAUCCAGAUGUUCUUCACGGAAACAAUUACCUGACCAAGCUCCAUCAGUUGGCCUUACAAAAUGCUCCUCUCCUGCCUGGCCACAACGUUGGGACCCUCACUCCUCAAGCACUGGCAGCUUUGGCAACACACUCAUCCCUGCGUGCCAGUGCUGCUGCUGCUCCUAACCUGGCAGCUGCAGCUCCAAACGUAACUGAAAUAAACAUCCCAAAUGAUCUGAUUGGAUGUGUGAUUGGAAAAGGAGGGGCCAAAAUUAAUGAAAUUAGGCAAGUGUCAGGAGCUUCAAUUAAAAUCUCAAACUCUGAAGAAGGUUCUAAAGACAGGACAGUGACAAUCACUGGAACACCAGAGGCCAUCAAUCUGGCCCAGUACCUUAUCAAUACGAGCAUUCAGAAUACCCACUUGCCAUUGAUCUGGAAAACCAUGGCCGCUGCUUCACUCAAGUAAGCUUCCGGCAAACCUACUUUUCCCCUCUCUUCUCUCCUUGGUUUAUCUAACUUUUACUUAGCACCGUCGACUUCUUGAAGCACCCGUUGUUAGACCCUUACCUGCUCAUUCUUUUCCUCCUCCUUUCUUCGCCCUCCUCGUCAGAUGACAAGAUUUCCUCGUCAAGUAUUACACCAUAGACACAACAAAUCAUGUGAUGUUACUUAGAUUGUGAUGCUACUCACCACCAGAUGGCCUCACUUGCCGAGGCACACAAAAAAUCCGAAUUGGAUUACAGUCGAAAGUCUGUAUGGUUCGGUUUGUGCUCGAGUGAAGUUCGGAAUGUUGAUUAACAUAUCAUCAAUAACUGAAGAAGAUAAGAUUAAGAAAUUUGUGGGCCGAAGGACAAUCUUUUCAUGUAUUUAUAAAUCUGGAUGUGCAUAUUUUAUAUUCAGAAAGAUUUAAAAAAAAAGAGCUUUUAAACCUUAUCUCCUGAUUAUAUAAGAUUAUAACCAUUACAAAACUAUGUAAUUAAAUAUUUUGAUGAAAUUAGAAAAACGUGAUGAAAUAAUCGAGUUUAAAAUUGUAGAGUUUUGUUAUUAUUCUUUACCAGAUAUUUGUUUUUGUUGUCGUUGUUGUUAAAGGAUUUCAUGUAACUGUUAUUUCGAGAACAAGACGAAACUAUCGUUUUACCACUCACUACAUUUCACAAAGUUUUCCUUGACAUUUUAGGUUGAGGUACAUAAUGAAAGCAUAACGAAAAUAUUUGUCUUUAUGCUCAAAGUGUCGAUAUGAACAUAUCAGUAUACCGAAUUAUAUGUACAUUAGAAUAUUUGUUAAAAUUGGAUUGAUUUGUCAGUGGUUAAACUUCACUUAAUAUGAGAAACUUCCGUUUAUAUUACAUCCCAUCUGAUUACUGGACAGUUAAAAGGACUGAAACCAACCCAUUAUUAACUCAAACUGGGUGAUUUUGUUUGAGAUAGCAUUUAGUGUUUAUAAUUUAUUUUUGAGCAAACGAAUGUGUAAGUUGAGUCGAAAUCGUUCAGAAGUGAAUACGUCUUGACAAGAUAUCAUUUUUUUAAUAGUUAAAUUGUGGAUGUAUUUGACUCAGUAGAACCUACAUCGGAAUUGUUAUUUUUGUAAAAUGUAUUGCAGAUGUUCAUAGAAGAAGAAGAAGAAGAAAGAUCUCAUUGGCCUUUUUCCUCUGAUCUCUUACAUUAUUCUUUCAGAAAAUUACCCCCUCCCCUCCAACACACACACUUUUUAGUUUAUAUUCAACGUAUAUGAAAGUAAACGAAUGUAAACACGCCUAACUUUUCCAUCACUUUCUGGUGAGUUUUUCAAGUGUGUAUUAAUUCUUGACAUUUAAAAUUACAAACAGUAAUAAUAACUAUAAACUAACGUAAUCGUGUAAUGAUGUUUAACACCCUGUGAAGCGAUCUGUUUUGGUCCUCACAUCAAUAACGUCAAUGUCAUCAGCGUGCUUAUGUUGGAAAAAAAAUCAAUGCUUCAUACUUGACUCAGGGAUAUAUAAAUUCAUCUCUAACUCACAUAUAAUGAGUUGCAUAUCCAUAAGUUUCUUAUUGAAAAAGGAAAUAAAAACGUUGCCAAUAUAAAUUACAGUGUACGAAUCAGUGCAAUAAACGGCCUAAAUCUAUGUACAGAUUCCAUAAUAUUCGUCUGAAGUCGCGUGAAUUCACGUUUGAUACGAAACCUCACCUUUCAACGAGCUUAUGAUACUCAUAGACAAGAUUUAAAGGAAGUUUUACGAAUCUAAUCACUGAGUGCGACCUUUUAACAUAGUUGGUAGGCAAAACAACAUGAAACGUCACUCCGUGUAAAGGGUAGGUUCUAAACUGUUUUUAUUUUCAAGCCUUGAGGGGUCGUUGCUAUAAAAUACAUAUAUUCAUACACAUACACACAAUAAAUUGUAAAUGGUGUUUUUUUUUCUGUUGUUGUUACUUCGGUUACGUGUGCUUUACAAUUUUACUUGUUAUUCUUUACAUGUCAUGGUUUGCGUAUUAAAUGCGAUUUUUCAACAAUAGAUAACACGACUUAUUGAUAUGUGUUAUUUUAUUGUUUACUUGCCUUUAUUUAUCGUUUAUAAUUUAAAUGUUAUAGUGAUAUAAUUUACUGUUUUUGAAAUAAUAUUGUAUAGGAAUGACCAUUUUUCACAUUGACCACUUGAGUUGGGAUAGGUUGAAAAUAUUUGCGCUUUUCUUCUUUUAAGUAGAAAAACAAAUUUCGCUUAAUCGAAAAGUGGUCUUGUACGGUGAUUGUAUUGUGAGAUUUUAAUAACUUAAAUACUUGUUUUUAUUUCACAAACGGUAAGAAAACAUUUGGCAAUCAAAGAGCUUUAAGGAUAAUGAAAAAUAAUAAGUGGACGUUGUUUAAAAAUGUAGCACGUUAUCAAGGAAACAUAUCAUUAUUAUUAUUCCCACGUUUGUUAACAGUUUCUAGCGAAAAACCUAAAACAGAGGGUCUCAGCUUAUCAAGUAUUUUGAUGAACCAAUUAUUCUGAAUUAAAAUAUGAUUAUCUGUUAAAAUAAAAGGCUAGAUUCUGUAAUUUGGUCUAAAUAUAAAUGUUGUUCUCAACUUACAACUUGUAAAAGAUGAUGAUUAAAAAAGACAUAUCCUUAAGCCAGUUUUAAAAUAGUAUUUGUUUAUUAUAAACACUUAUUUACUCUUAUCGUAAACUGUUAGGAUUAGUCUUAGACUAUUAUUAAUAUAAGUACAACUUGAUACAGCUAUAUGAAUACUUUUUUUUUCUGAUAUUAGGGUGAUAGAAAUAAAUAAAAUAAUAUUGAAGAGAAACCAAAUCUCUCUUUUUUUUGUAAGCAUUUAGGUACAUAAAAAGAUAAUAUGAAUAAUUGUAAAAUGUUUUUAAAUCACUUAUUUUAGAUAUAGUGUUUUUAUCUAACAGUUUUACGUUUGAGAUGUAUAAAAUGUAUAUAAUCGUAUAACAUCCAGGAUUGUGAUUUGUUUAAUUUUAUUAUAUAUGUUAUGUUUUUGUGUAAUAUUUGACUGUGAAAAAUAGCAGAAAAGAAAAAAAUAUUUAUUUCGAAAUGGUAUGAAGUUUUCUACUAAUUUGACUUUUUAACGUGGCAAAAAAAAAAAGGUCACUGACACCUGGUGAACUGUGCAUGACAUAUAGUAAGGGGUGUCACGUGAGCAGCUAAAUAUUAUAUGUAGUAAAAGACUGUAGUUUUUAUUUACUAUUUUCGUUUUUUACCAAAACAGUCACGUAUAGUAAAGUAGGUAAGCUGAGAGGAUAUACUUUAGAGAUAUCCUAACUGUGAUAUAUUUAUGUGCAGUAUAAAAUUCAAUUUCAGGACGCAAGGCAACCACUGCUACUUACACUGUGAAAUAGGAUUAUAAAUUUAAAGUUUUAAUAUACGAUUUUAGAUUUUUAUAGUUAAGAUCUACAUGUAGCAUUUUGACAAUAACCAGUCAACGAGUAAACUAAAAAAAAAAAAAGCAGGAUGAAAGUUUGUGUGAAUUGUAUACAGUCUAAGCAAUUACUGGAACUUGCUGAUAUUGCUAUUGCUGGGGAGCGGAAGGGGGAGGAAAACCACAACCGAGCAGUGGUUCGAAUAUGAACACGUAUUUUAAUAGAAUGGGAAGUGUGCAUUUCUAUGAGGACUGUGAUGGAAACGAUGCUCAAGGAGGGUCGUCAUUUUAAGGUCGUAUUUUUAUCAUAAUAAUUGUUAUUUUUAGAUGUAGUUCACGAGAAAUAUAUGUGAGCCCGAUACAUAUCUCGUGUUUUGAGGACAUAUCAUGCACUUGUAUCUCCUGUUGCUCACAUCUUACGCUACCUGAUUUUCUCUUUGGGAGAUUACUUUCUAAUUUUUUUUUCAAACAACAGAUUUAAAGAGGUUAAAUAAUAGACUAACAGUGUCACAAACAUUAUAUUUAAAGUGUUUAAAUAUUAGGCCUGAAGUGUUUCAAACACCAGGUUUAAAGUGCCAAUAAUAACUGCAACUUUUCACUAUUUUUUGUGCACGCGCACCGAGGAGAGAGCUAUAUUUGAUUGUGGUAUUGUCCGUCAGUCUGUCUGUUAGUUAAUAUUUAUCUCUUAACACCAACCUUUUGAAUUUUGAGUGCAAUAGAUUCAGCGUAACUUGUGUCCAAAUAGACAUGUGACCUCUCGAUAGACUUCACUGUAUUGUGCAAGUGGUAUUGUUGAUGUUUAAUAUUUGAUGAUACAUUUGAAACUUCUUUGUGAAUGUAUUUUGUUCUUUUUAUGCAAAAUAAUAUUUUACGGCUUUUAGAUGUUUUUUUAACUUUUUCACCCCUAAAGAUUCAUACCAGUUUAAAUAUGAUGAGCAACAAGUUACGCUGAAUCGUGUUCUUUGCUAUUGAAGUUUUAAUAUGUAUGUGUUUUUGUCUUUGAUCCCAAUUUCAUGUUUUUCCAGGGAUUAUGGUUUCUAGUAGAUUUUUCUCUUCCCUUGCAUGGAUUUAGGAUAAUGACUUGUGUAGUGACAAAUUUAGCAUUGGUCUAAUUUAAAAAUGAACAUUCUAGUUGGCGCGUUUUCCUUUUAAUCCUAUAUCUGAUUCCAAAGGACAAAAAUAUGUUUACAGUUUUGAUGCAAUAAAUGAGGUACAAUAGUGUCAAUGUUGUUUAUAAAUUUCUUGCAAAGCGUUGAAUGUCGGUUUUUGAGAAUAAGCUGUUAGUUUAUAACUUGAGAAUGAUGUGCUUAUUAUAAUGGUUGUUUAAUAAAAUAUGACUUCCAAAACGA